Molecule: ribosomal RNA, 253 nt
Filed under: uncultured bacterium
Lineage: Bacteria
Description: partial 16S ribosomal RNA
Rfam family: Bacterial small subunit ribosomal RNA
Source: RNAcentral
UACGAACGGUCCAAACGUUAUUCGGAAUCACUGGGCUUAAAGCGUCCGUAGGCGGCUCGGAAAGUAGGGUGUGAAAUCCCACGGCUCAACCGUGGAAUUGCGCUCUAAACUAUCGAGCUAGAGGGAGAUAGAGGUGAGCGGAACUGAUGGCGGAGCGGUGAAAUGCGUUGAUAUCAUCAGGAACACCGGAGGCGAAGGCGGCUCACUGGGUCUUUUCUGACGCUGAGGGACGAAAGCUAGGGGAGCGAACGGG